UUCUUUUGUUGCAGGUCCGGAACAUUGCUUUGGGAAUUGUAUCUCGCAGGUUUAAUUGGAAACAGCCGACUGUGAUGGAGACAAUUGAUAGUAAGUAAAUAUUGCUAGCUCUUCUACUUGUUUUCAGGCAUCAUAAAAAAAAUAUUGUUUUGCUUGCUAGUCGCUUAUUUGUGUUCCAACCAACUAGUUAGAUGAUAGGCACUUUCUCGAUAAUGAAUGUACAUAAUCUCAUUUAGAUUCUUCAAGCUUUAUAUUUGAUUGGUUUAAAUCAUGUAGUCAAUAGAAAUCGAUACAAGGAAAUGGUUAUCCUAACAUGCCUGUUUGCGUAUUUCCAUGAUUCUUUCUUUUUCAUGUUAUAUGACUUCACAGUUUUCUUUAACUACUUCCGGCGCAUCAUCAAAAAUAUUUCAGCCAUGCAGAACAAAUUUCUCAGGCUAUGAUAGCCAGAGGCUGUAAAGGGGACGUUGACACUAUUUCUUGUCAAAAUCAUCUUUUGGGAUGCCAUAUAUAAUAUGUUUUGUUGAACUUGA
Long non-coding RNA from Medicago truncatula (barrel medic), 530 nucleotides. RefSeq lists it as uncharacterized. The transcript is spliced from 2 exons. Lineage: Eukaryota; Viridiplantae; Streptophyta; Magnoliopsida; Fabales; Fabaceae. The record is from RefSeq and is a predicted model, not a curated record.